Molecule: long non-coding RNA, 3705 nt
Organism: Homo sapiens (human)
Lineage: Eukaryota; Metazoa; Chordata; Mammalia; Primates; Hominidae
Gene: FENDRR
Product: FOXF1 adjacent non-coding developmental regulatory RNA
Source: Ensembl
GAUGGCAAAGGCCCUGGCAGGAAGUUUACAGGGUUUAACGUAAACAAGUUCUGGGGGAUUCUUUAAUAAUAAUAAUAGAGAAUUCCGCGUGCGCAGGGCGGGAGGGGGGAGUUGGCCUAAUGCCCCUGUGGGCUCGGCCUGCCGCCGCCGCGGGGCCUCUGACACUGCGCGCCAGGCCAGGUUCCUGAGAGCAGACAGCGCGGGCUGGGAGCGCCGGCAAGGGCGGCCCUCGCGCACCUGGCUGCCAGCCCGCAGGGGGCUCGCACGCAGACCUGCCCUUGCCACCUCAGCGCUCGGGUGCGGGCUGGGGGCGGUGGAGCCACGAAAGGUGGUGCCGAGAGCGGAGCGCAGGACAGCGCAGGAGCCCCGGCGCAUCGCGGCGCGCACAGACCCAGGAUUUGUGAAGAGGUGACCCAAAUUUCAAGACAAUGUUGGAUGCAAACGGAUUUGCCAGCAACUGCAUCACUGUCAAAACCAGCUCUGCCCGUGUCUUCCGAAGAUACCAAGUGAAAUACAUGUAGAUGGGAUUUACAUCUGAAAAACCAAGUGAGAAACUGAAGACCAGAGAGGGUGAGUGGUUUACUCAGUUUGGCACAACUGACCCCAACCUAGCCCUCCAUGAGGACUGAGCGCAUGAGAGAUCCUGAGCCACAGCCGCCCAGCCCUGCUCCUCUCGAAUUUCUGACCUACAGGAACUGCAAGAAGUAAUGAAAGACUGCUGUUUAAAGCCACUGCAUUUUGGCAUGAUUUGUUAUGCAGUCGUAGAUAACCAGAAAACAUCGGAUUUACAUUUUAAGAAGGUGGGGCAAGAGGAUGGUGGUGAACAUUUUCCUUCUUUCACACACACAUGCCUUGGCAUUGCGUUUGCCUGCAUGCAGCUAUGGCCUGCAGCCACUGAAGAAUGCUUGCAUAAGGAGCUCUUCUCUGCACAUACCCCGACACAGUGAUGGUAUCUUGCAGCUGCUGCUUCUGUCCAAGGCACUGCAGCCUACUCGUCAAAAGCCCGAAGCCCAGCUCUGCCAGCAGUGCACUGUGUGCUCUUAGGAAACAGAGAAGCAAAGAAGUUAGCAAGCUUGUUUUGGCAGAAGAAAAAACACAAAAUACCCAACCACAGAUCCUCAAAAAUAUUGCUAAGCACUAAUUUUGCUAACAUGUUAGACAGCCUUCGGAUCUAGGCAAUCUUGUUCCUCAGCUGGAAAGAGUUCCUGCCAGCCAUGUGAUUCCAAAUCCACCCUGGACAUAUGGGGAUAAUGAGAAAAUCAGCUCCGGCCUUCCCUGGCCUUCCAGCCAAGUGAAUGGGGGCAUCCCCUGGUGCUUCAGCCCGGGGCCCACCCAGAGGAUGCUAGCUGGCCUGCAGAGGCCUCAACCAUGCCCUCCUGGACUCAGGUAAGACUGAGGUUUCCAUGCCCUCAAAACAAUUGUUCAGACAAAAACUCACUGCCCAGGUCAAAGUCACAGCACCAGAAAGCCAACCUGAGGAUGAAGACAAAGCUCUUUGUUGGCACAGUCCCCUGAUCAUUCGAGGUCAGCAUCUCCAUCAAAAUGGACCCAAUGCUGAGGCAAGAAGGAGAACAUCACUGUUAAGAAGGUAAUGAGUCACAAAUGCUAUUUCGAUGGUUUUCUUUGAAAGAAAUACACAGAACCAAACCAAUUUUAAUUAAAGAUCUUGUCUUUGUAAUCAGGCAGCCACAAAUGAAGGCAAAACUGCUUUCAUGUGGCAUAAUAUACACAGAGCUGAACUAGUUUUCCCAUAAAAGGGCAGGUUCUUUUCUUCAAAUAAGAAAAGAGUUUGUUCCUAACAAUAUGGGGGAUGCAACAGAAAGCUGUCUUUUGCAAAGUAUAAAAUUGCAGAUCCUCCCGUGGAAGCCAUUUCUUGAUGCUAAACCAAUGCGAACGUUUGCCAAACGCACAUGCGAGCCGGGAUUAUCCUACCCUUUGAGAUUAGACAUGUGAUCCUGAUUUUUAAGUGAAAAACGCAGCCAGAGGCCAAAUAAACAUACCUACAAGUACAUCGAAAGCUCAAAUGGUUGAGAAAUGAUUGUAACACACCCCGGUGUGUAUUUCUGAGGAAGAAUCAACAUGCACAUGGAAAUUGAUGUUUUGAUUUUUAAUUUUAAAACGACGACAGAACUGAAAUACCUCCCCUAACUAGGUCCACUGAAACCAGUGAGGAGAUAAUCAUUUUCAGUUAAAUAUGCAUGUAAUUUAAUAAUCCACAGAUGGAAAAUGCAUUUGAGGUGGACUGAACACAGCCAGGAGUUUUUGCUUAUCGACAGCACUGAAUCCUGCCUUGACUAGAGAGACUCGUCAUGUGAUCAACUGUGGCCAGAGGGCAUCCUGCAGACAGCUCCUGUCACACCACACUGACCAGACUCUUAUGAGUAUUUAAGCAUCUUCAGGGAAGCGAUUGACUGUCUUAUAAUGGUCUUACAAGUACGGAACUUUAUUACCUGCUAAUAAUCAGAGCACAUGAUGGCACAAUAGAAUAUACGAGUGAAGUUCUAAAUGCAAGGUUGUUCUUAUUCUGUGAGUGGCAAAACUCAUGCAGUGAGCAGAUAAAGCUGGCAGGAGGCAUUGGCGCCCUAAUGCUGGGCACUAACCACCUGCCCGGACUGCGAAUAUCUGUUGGGUCCUUUCUAUAUCUGGUCUAUUCUCGUGUUUGAUUAUAUCCUGGUGGCAAGAAUAGCAAAAUCAACUCUCCUUCCUAUCCCAUGUGGAGAGGCAUGAUUUGAGUCAGAGAGCAUUAUCCUCUCUGCGUUAUCCAACCCCAUGUCCCAUGAUGCACUUUGUAGACAAGCAAGUGUCCCUGGUGGAGAAUCCACAGCCACACAUCCUCAUUGGUUGCAAGGAUCAGUGUCCAAUAUCUACUGCCAUGAUCAUUCUCAGUUUUACAUCCACAGAGCUUCAUAGAAUUCUAACACCACAGGUCCAAGUAGAGGUUUUGGCCUCAGAGUGGGCUAGAUUCCACCUCUGACAGCAGCUGUGGGACUGUUUUUCCAUCUGUAAAAUGGAGACAAGAGUAUCACCUACCUCAUGGUGUUGGUGGGAUCGUUAAACAGAAUUCCGAUCAUGAAACCCUUAGCCUGCUCCCUGCAUAGGCUGCAUGCGCUCAGUGAGCUAUGGCUCUGUUUCAUGCUGACUUUACCAUCAUGUAAGCAGUUUUAAAAAUGCUAGAAGCUUUAGUCAUAGAAUUACCAUAUGAUACAGCCUACUGCAGAGUCCAGAGGCUGAGGCAGGAGAGUUACUUGAACCUGGGAGGCGGAGGUUGCAGUGAGCCAAGAUCGCGCCACUGCACUCCAGCCUGGGCAACAGAGUGAGAUUCUGUCUCAACACAAAAAAGAAGACAUGUGUCCCCAUCACAGUAUCAUACAGAGUGCUUCCACUGCCCUAAAAUACCCUGUGCUCUUCCUAUUCAUCCCUCUCUUCAACCCCAGCAACCACUGAUCCUUUUACCAUCUCCAUGGUUUUGCCUUUCCCAGAAUGUCAUAUUGUUGGAAUCAUACGCUAUGUAGCCUUUGCAAAUGGGCUUCUUUCACCGAGCAAUGUGCAUUGAAGGUGCCUCUAUGACUUUUCAAGGGUUGAUAGCUCAUUCCUUUUUAUUGCUAAAUAAUAUUCCAUUGUCUGAAUGUACCACAUUUUGUUUAUCCAUUCACCUACUAAAGGACAUCUUGGUUGCUUCCAAGUUUGGGCAAUUAUAAAUAAAAC